RNAcentral lists this ribosomal RNA (552 nucleotides) under Triticum aestivum (bread wheat). Its description in RNAcentral is "partial small subunit ribosomal RNA". Lineage: Eukaryota; Viridiplantae; Streptophyta; Magnoliopsida; Poales; Poaceae. The record is from RNAcentral.
AUGCUCUUCAAGUCAUUGGCUACACUACAUGAAGGAAGUAUUGCUUCAGGAGACUUGAACUUUGUAUCAAUUCCGCAAGUGGGUCUCACAAGCGAUGCCAUUUCUCCUAUGGAUUCCUCUACCAAUUAUUUGAACCAUAUCUCCUCUACCAAUGUUGAUGAUGGUAUGUCCUCAUCUAAUCUACAAGGGCAAGGGGCAUCAAGAAGAGAUGAACCUGAAGCUACAACAUCUACCAACUCUGAACAAAAGGGAGCACUGCCUGUGAAAAAGAGGAAGCAAAGUCAGAUCGCUGUUGUACUUGAGGAUUACAUGGAUUUUUGGAAGAAACAAUCUGCAAAACUGGUUGACGAGUUGAAGGAAUCAAAGCAAGAUGACAUUUUCUCGAUUGGAAACUGUGUGGCUGCGCUAGAACCAAUGGAAGAUUUAUCAAUUGCAGAAAAAGCAAAGGCACUGCGGCUUUCCAAAUGCCCAAUGAAUCGAGAAAUAUUCAUCAAUACCAAGGACUCAAAUCUUCGGCUUUAUUGGUUGAAGGAGGAGAUUUCUGAGAUGUAG